This is a long non-coding RNA of Salvelinus sp. IW2-2015, 1870 nucleotides long. RefSeq lists it as uncharacterized. The transcript is spliced from 3 exons. NCBI's taxonomy places the organism in Eukaryota, Metazoa, Chordata, Actinopteri, Salmoniformes, Salmonidae. The record is from RefSeq and is a predicted model, not a curated record.
CAUGAUGAUGACGAUUUACAUUACCCUAUACUAGUUAUAGCUACAUUUUCUUCUCUACUGAAGAUUACUACAAGGUCUUACUCCAGGGUGGGAAAAUGCCUACGAGAAACCAAACAGAUGAAGACAGAGUUGUUGAUUUCCUUCGUUACUUGUAAUGUUAUAAGGGAAGAAAAAUAAUCAGUUUUUUCUGAAUUAGCUUUCAAGCUACUACAUACCACCAGUAGAAUAGUUAUUUUUAUGUUAUCUAGUAGGCCUUUAUCUUUGUUUAAUCUAAUUAUUAAAUCUAACACAAAUCCUUCUAAUUUUAUAAGAAAUGUAAGGUCUUUUUACAUGUUGCAAUAAAGUAUACCCUUGGGGUACCUGUACCACUAAAGGAGAAGCUCAUCUUUUAAUUGUAGGUAUUUUCACUUGGGAAAGGGGGUACUUAGUCAGUUGCUCAACCGAAAUGUGUCUUCCGUAUCAGAGAGGUGCGGGGGGCUCCCUUAAUCGAUGUCCACAGCACCCACGGAGCAGUUGGGGGUUAACUGUCUUGCUCAAGGGCAGAACAGCAGAUUUGUUCACCUUUCCGGCUUGGGAAUUUGAACCAGCGGCCUUUUGGUUGCUGGCCCAAUGCUCUUAACCGCUAGGCUAUCUACCGCCUUACUUACUAAUGUAGAAAUUGCUCAUAGGUAACUGUAAAGUUAUACAUAACUUUAAAUAGCAAAUCCUGUGUUACAACCUUGUACUUAUGCCGAAAUUACAGAUAUGUACUCUGGUGUAAUAGUGUGAUUAUUUUCUCACUUGGAUGGAUGGCGCUGUCAGAAGCUGAUGAUUUAGAUUGUCAGGAUGGUAGGUACACAAUAAUUACAAGUAAGUAUCCCUCAAGAUACAAUUCAUUUUAACUAGCUAAGUCCUGUGUAACACCUAGUAAUUACAAUGUAUGUAUGCAGAUAUGACAUGUACUAGUGUGUUUAUUUUCUCAAUAGGAUGGUGCCUUCAGAAGCUUUGCAAUUUGGGUCAGGUUAUCAGGAUGUGUAAUGUGCUAUAUAAGUGCACAUUGAUUACAAAUUGUGUUAAAGGACUCACUCCCUGCCAUCCUGGCCCACAGCCACUGCUCCUGUGUUGCUGGGACUACUUUGUGCAACCACACAGUUGCACUGCUCUACUAGUCAACACAUUACUCUCAAUUUGGGAUUGGUGCAUUCCCCCAUCCAUAGUUGCACCGAGAGUGAGCAGAGGUGGCAAAAGCCAAAAACAAUGGUAAGGCUGUGUGGAUGGUUAUUGAAGGCUAAUAUGAAUAAUAUAAAUUGGUGAUGUGAUUGUGAUGAUCUAAGUGCCCCUUUGUAUUCCAAGGGUGUGAAGCCAGGCACUGUUAGCAGGAUGGUGUUCCUAUCAGCAAGACCCAAAGAGAGAAUAAUGGUUGAAGGAGUGAGGAGUACCUUCUAUAGAGGUGUAACCUGGGAGCUGCCUGACCUCUGUCCUCCAUGUGGAAGAGGUGUACAGGGACUUUACCAAUGCUACAGCCCCUUUGGUCAUUCCAUUGGACAUAUCCACUGAGGUCCAGUUAGUGGAUUCUGCCAUUGGUGAAGUCCGGGCUGGCUGCUGCUACAACAACUCGCAACAUCACUUCGCAUGAAGACAGAAUCCUCAGGGGAACUCGUCAGUCUGCAGAGAUGAAGAGAGGUCUGGAGAUGAAUUCUGCUGCUGUGGAGGAAUACUAUGUUCUCCAGAAUGUCAACUGUUACCCCCAUGGGCAUCAACAGAGACUGCCAAAUUUGGGAAGCAAUCAACAAGAAGGCUGACCAUUUAUUUGUUUACUCUUACUUGCAGAGAUGCCUAAUGAUCUCCUAUGUCAAAUGUUAAAAGAUUAAAAACAUUUUUGUACUGUGAA